GAAUCCACCUAUGAGAUUGCUUGCCAACAAACAAAUUCCAAAAACUUUGCAUCAAUAAUAUACAGGAUUCUUGUAGAUCAAGUGGUAGUGAAAGUGCUCUCUAAAGGUGGAAAUAAAAAAGAUAUGCCUUUCUAAAUCUUGUGUCUGGAACAAAGGCGGCGCACGCCUAGGUGCAUAAGGCAAUAGGUUCCAGCUUGGUGAGCCUUGAGCCUGAGGCGUUCCUGAGGCGCGCCUUUAAUAACUA
This 244-nucleotide unclassified non-coding RNA is filed under the name Hevea brasiliensis (rubber tree). Lineage: Eukaryota; Viridiplantae; Streptophyta; Magnoliopsida; Malpighiales; Euphorbiaceae. The record is from RNAcentral.